CACCCACCUUGGCCUGCUAAAUUACGUUUCUUGUAAAAGUUACAUUUUAUCUCUAUUGGUGGUGGUGUUAGAAAGAGUUGCUUGUGCCAAAAUGGCAGCUUCCAGCCGCGCACAAGUGUUAGAUCUGUACUGGGCUAUGCUGAGAGAAAGCAAGCGUUUCAGCGCCUACAAUUACAGAACGGAUGCUGUCAGGAGGAUAAGAGAUGCCUUCAGAGAAAAUAAAAAUGUAAAGGAUCCUGUAGAAAUUCAAACCCUGGUGAAUAAGGCCAAGAGAGACCUUGGAAUAAUUCGUUGACAGGUCCACAUUGGCCAACUGUAUUCAACUGACAAGCUGAUUAUUGAGAAUUGAGACAUGCCCAGGACCUAGCAAGCCAGGAUCAGCCACCAGCAGCGGCUAGGGACCACCUUUAGCAUCCACUUUGUGUUUGAGAUGGGGGCUCCCAAAGCCAGCUUACAACAGCCUCUUGCGCAGCCUGCCCUGUGGGAGCUGAUAAACUGAGUCACAUUUGCAUUCUGCUGCAGCUUUACUGAAAAAAGAUGGCUGUCUGUCCUUGGUUCAAGUGUUAGAAUGAAGAGCUGGAGCUCGUUCCGAAUAAUGCCUUGUGUUACCACAUCUCCCCUCCACCCCACUCCUAUCUUGUAGCUCAUGACCACUGUGUAUAGUAUUUCUACACUUUCUUUCUUGGUCCUUGGCAAUAAAAAGGAUUGUCUCCCUGAGUCUUUCACACCAAAAAAAAAA
Molecule: RNA transcript, 739 nt
Organism: Sapajus apella (tufted capuchin)
Lineage: Eukaryota; Metazoa; Chordata; Mammalia; Primates; Cebidae
Gene name: LYR motif-containing protein 4 pseudogene
Exons: 1
Source: RefSeq, a predicted model, not a curated record